GACGAACGCUGGCGGCGUGCUUAACACAUGCAAGUCGAACGGAAAGGCCCUGCUUUUGUGGGGUGCUUGAGUGGCGAACGGGUGAGUAACACGUGAGUAACCUGCCCUUGACUUUGGGAUAACUUCAGGAAACUGGGGCUAAUACCGGAUAGGAGCUCCUGCUGCAUGGUGGGGGUUGGAAAGUUUCGGCGGUUGGGGAUGGACUCGCAGCUUAUCAGCUUGUUGGUGGGGUAGUGGCUUACCAAGGCUUUGACGGGUAGCCGGCCUGAGAGGGUGACCGGCCACAUUGGGACUGAGAUACGGCCCAGACUCCUACGGGAGGCAGCAGUGGGGAAUAUUGCACAAUGGGCGGAAGCCUGAUGCAGCAACGCCGCGUGCGGGAUGACGGCCUUCGGGUUGUAAACCGCUUUCGCCUGUGACGAAGCGUGAGUGACGGUAAUGGGUAAAGAAGCACCGGCUAACUACGUG
Molecule: ribosomal RNA, 468 nt
Filed under: uncultured bacterium
Lineage: Bacteria
Description: partial 16S ribosomal RNA
Rfam family: Bacterial small subunit ribosomal RNA
Source: RNAcentral